Molecule: unclassified non-coding RNA, 148 nt
Organism: Macaca fascicularis (crab-eating macaque)
Lineage: Eukaryota; Metazoa; Chordata; Mammalia; Primates; Cercopithecidae
Rfam family: Metazoan signal recognition particle RNA
About the family: The signal recognition particle (SRP) is a universally conserved ribonucleoprotein. It is involved in the co-translational targeting of proteins to membranes.
Source: Ensembl
GCUGGGUGUGGUGGCCUGUGCCUGUAGUCCCAGCUACCUGGGAGGCUGAGGUGGGAGAAUCACCUGCGCCCAGGAGGUCGAGGUUGCAGUGAGCCAAGAUUGUGCCACUGUACUCCAGCCUGGGCGACAGAGCGAGACCCUAUCUCAA